This 689-nucleotide ribosomal RNA is filed under the name uncultured bacterium. RNAcentral's name for it is "bacterial SSU rRNA". It matches the Rfam family "Bacterial small subunit ribosomal RNA", at positions 8 to 745 of the family's 1533-position model. The record is from RNAcentral.
AGAGUUUGAUCCUGGCUCAGAACGAACGCUGGCGGCAGGCUUAACACAUGCAAGUCGAGCGCCCCGCAAGGGGAGCGGCAGACGGGUGAGUAACGCGUGGGAACAUACCCUUUACUACGGAACAACUCCGGGAAACUGGAGCUAAUACCGUAUGUGCCCUUCGGGGGAAAGAUUUAUCGGUAAAGGAUUGGCCCGCGUUGGAUUANCUAGUUGGUGGGGUAAAGGCCUACCAAGGCGACCAUCCAUAGCUGGUCUGAGAGGAUGAUCAGCCACAUUGGGACUGAGACACGGCCCAAACUCCUACGGGAGGCAGCAGUGGGGAAUAUUGGACAAUGGGCGCAAGCCUGAUCCAGCCAUGCCGCGUGAGUGAUGAAGGCCUUAGGGUUGUAAAGCUCUUUCACCGAUGAAGAUAAUGACGGUAGUCGGAGAAGAAGCCCCGGCUAACUUCGUGCCAGCAGCCGCGGUAAUACGAAGGGGGCUAGCGUUGUUCGGAAUUACUGGGCGUAAAGCGCACGUAGGCGGAUAUUUAAGUCAGGGGUGAAAUCCCAGAGCUCAACUCUGGAACUGCCUUUGAUACUGGGUAUCUUGAGUAUGGAAGAGGUAAGUGGAAUUGCGAGUGUAGAGGUGAAAUUCGUAGAUAUUCGCAGGAACACCAGUGGCGAAGGCGGCUUACUGGUCCAUUACUGACC